AGAGCGAACGCUGGCGGCAGGCUUAACACAUGCAAGUCGAACGGAUCCUUCGGGAUUAGUGGCGGACGGGUGAGUAACACGUGGGAACGUGCCUUUAGGUUCGGAACAACACAGGGAAACUUGUGCUAAUACCGGAUGUGCCCUUCGGGGGAAAGAUUUAUCGCCUUUAGAGCGGCCCGCGUCUGAUUAGCUUGUUGGUGAGGUAAAGGCUCACCAAGGCUACGAUCAGUAGCUGGUCUGAGAGGAUGGCCAGCCACAUUGGGACUGAGACACGGCCCAAACUCCUACGGGAGGCAGCAGUGGGGAAUCUUGCGCAAUGGGGGAAACCCUGACGCAGCCAUGCCGCGUGGAUGAUGAAGGUCUUAGGAUUGUAAAAUCCUUUCAGCGGGACGAUAAUGACGGUACCGCAGAAGAACGCCCGGCUAACUUCGCGCCAGCACGCCGC
This 445-nucleotide ribosomal RNA is filed under the name uncultured bacterium. Its description in RNAcentral is "SSU rRNA". It matches the Rfam family "Bacterial small subunit ribosomal RNA", at positions 26 to 518 of the family's 1533-position model. The record is from RNAcentral.